GGCCGGGCCGGGGUGCAGGUCGGGGCAGCAGUGUUCGCCAGAAGGUGUAGGAAGGAGGUGAAGCAGUCAAGAGAUGUCGUUCCGGGAUAAGGGCGUGAGGAAAGCGUGUUGGGAGUCUCGGGACAGGUACUGGGCGUGCCUCGAUCUGCCAGACAUCAACCGUGAUCACUGCCUCGAGCUGCGACGCCUCUACGAGAUGGCCUGCCCCGGACACUGGGUGAAGCACUUUGACCGGAAGCGACAAUAUAUGGAGUUCAAGGAGCGGAUACACUCGGUAGGACUCCGGGAGGCGGGCACACUGUCGCCGUGUCCCGCCCUUGAGUCCCCCCUCGUCAGGAGACAUCGCAUCUACAGCGAGGUCGUCUUCACCUAGCACCACCUGGUGACACCUUCCACCUUCACCUGGGCCUCACCUGUCUGUGCAACACCUAAAUCAAUAUACUGUACUUCACCUGUACCUGUCUGCACGAUCACCUAAAUCUGUUACCAAGAGUCAUUUAAAUUUGGUUCCAGAAUCACAUAAAUCUGGCCCCAGAAGCACCUGAAACUGGCAACAUCAUCACCGAAAUCAGUGCCUGCCUGGAGGAUCAUCUAAGUUUGACCGCAACGCCACCUAGUUCAGCGGACAACUUCUCUAGGCACCUAGAGAAGCAGUGGCCACCUUCCCUGUUACCACCUAGUUGAGGCGGCCAUUCCUACAUCAGUAAUGCCACCUACUGUAGUGACUCGCCUCCCUUCCCCUAUCUUCAACUGCACCAGGCUUCAGUUUCACCAAACAAAUGAUCAAAGACUGUCUUAACACUCUCGACAAGAUCACCCAUAUUAAUGACCUCCUCUACCAAUAUUUUCACCUACCUUCACCUGGUUACAGAGUCAUCCAGAACUGGUCAUUAAGAUCACCUAAACCAAUGACCUCCACCACCACCUUCUCAUGACCUGAUCAAAAUAGGUCGCGUCCCAACCCACUCGCUGUACCCACGAGUCUAGUCAACUUGUAAACAGGUUUAACUCCUUUAAUUUAGCUUUACCUACGUGUUAAUAAAAGGCUUAAUCCCUGAUAGGAAAAGGAAAAUUCCAUCAAGUCAUUUAAUUUUAAAAGUUUUACUAAUAAUUAAAAAUAUUAUCCCUUUUUUUUUAUCUAACUAUAAUAAUCUUUCUAUUAAGAACACUUGGCGCAAUAAUUGUAAUUUUCAUCGUUGCUUAGAUUUUAAGCGACCAUUCUUGUCUAUAAGCAAGUUCAAGUCUUCUGUUUCACAGUAGAUGUUAAAAAUAUCUUCUAUCAUCUCGGCAGGUAAAGUCAAACAGGAAUAUUUCCCUUUCCUCUCAGGAGAAGCCUAGUAAUAUACCGGUAUCUCUUCCCUUACCCCAUACCAUGAUGUGAAGCCUAAUAUUCUAGGUGUGAAUUAUAAUUCUUUCUCUUCCCCUGCCAGCAGGUGAAGCCCACUAUUAGGGGAAUUAAUCCUAGUGCUCAGCAGUGUGUGGGUAAUAAAGAUGUAAUUAUCAUUCACCCAAUGUGUGUAUAAUACUUAACAUAGCUAAAGGAGCGCCAGUUAGAGUUUAACGUAACACGGUAGGUUAAGAGGUCAUCUCAAAGUUCAGAGACGGCAUAAUAGUAUUUUUAGAGUCUAUAUUCAUACAGUAUGAGCAUAAAACAUUAAAUAGUGUUUCUCUGGAACCAUAAAUCACUAGUGAAAAAUAAGUUGCCGUAAUCUCCGGGAUUCCGGCACAAAAUUCAUUCGGGUUAAGAAAAUGCAUAUAUCCACUCAAUUCAUGUAAAAUUUUGUACAUUAUUUAGGAGUUAACUUUAGGGUUUACAAUAGUGAUUUUGAUCAUCGAGACACACUAUCUUACGUCUCCUAUACACAUAGAGGCUCCGAAAACAUUAUUGAGUUACCUUUAAACCCUGAAGUAACCCUUAAUGUUAUCAACUAUUAAGAGUGGAAUGACCAUUUUCAUUAUAGGUAUAUAUUUUUUUUAUUGUACCAGUAAUUCUAAUAGUAUUUUUUUUAUCUUUUUUCACCAAAGCACUUGCAUUGAUAUUUCAAGUGGAAUCGUUUUCUUAAAAGUUCUUACGUAUAACAUUAGAACACUAUGCUAUUCUGGUUAGCGGUCGGAAAUAUGUCGAUAUGUAAAUAAACAUUAGGCACAUAAACUAUUUAAUAAAUAGAAUUCAAAGUUUAAGCUGCAGAUACUAUAUUCACUUUCAAACAAACAACCUGAAAAAAAUCAAUGAUGUGUUUGUUCAAAAUUUGUUACUACAAAUAUAAACAGACGUAAACCUUCUUUAUGUAUAAACGCCAAAUACCCGCAUUGUAUAAAAACACAAACAGGAGACACCGCUUCACCACAACAACUAUAUAACCCACACGCACAGCACUCAUGUCACCAACAGUAACACAUAAGACACCCAGAGUAAUUAAAGCAGCUACAGCCUUAGAAUAAAUGCAAAGUGAAACGCUAAUUUUAAUCCCAUAUUCAUGGUGGAAUACCAAGCAGGCCAAAGGAUUGGGCACCGGGUUAGUUUUUGCGAUAUCAGCUGAUGGGAGUGUUGACUUCCAUAAUGGGGUUGUUGCCAAAAGUAUGAGCAGGCUGCUGGUAUUUGUGCACUCGUCAUUAAGAAUACGGGAUACACAUUGUGAUAACAUCUCAGUAAUCCUGCCAAAAAAGAUAAAUGUUCGAUAUUUCUUUUUAUAGACUUGGGGUGUACUUAUGCGAUUCGAAUUUUUGUGAUGUUAUUUUUUCACUUUUCACAUCCUAGUGAAGGUCCGAUAACAGAGGUAUAUACGGUAAUGAUUUUACUGAUUAAAGCGUUCGCUUUGGGUGUUUACCAAACUUAAAAGAUCAUCAACUGGUCAUUAUUGGCCGUCACCCCGGAAUUCAACCAAGUAGCUAACUCAACUUGUUUUAAUUUUAUGAGUUGGACCAAUCAGAAGGAGUCAGUGGCUCAAUCAGAUUAAUUUUACGAAUCAGGAGACGAGUCGACGCUACUGACGUCGUUCAUAAUGCAUUACAUUACUGUGAAUCAUCUUCUUUCACAAGGUAUGUCUGUAGUCUCUUCCGUUCCAAAUAAUGCAUAUUAAUUUAUUGAUCCGGUAUGUAACGGACAUUAGAAUAUUCUAGCCGUGUGUAAUAAUCAACAGAUACUUUUUAGGCAAUUAGGUACAUGACAGAAAACGUCGCUGUGCAGCAUAUGGAGGGCGUCUGUCAUGAUAGUUCAGUAAACAUGGCGUAUAAUCCUUGGCUCAAUGUAUGACGGUUCAUUAAGUGUGUCACAAGCACUUAUCCUUAUAUGAAUACCUGUCAUAAUGCUUCUUAGUCAUAAAUUAUCACUCGAAGCAACACACUUAAUGUAUAUGUUAUUCAGUGAACAAUAUUUGUUUUCAUUACCAGGUUCUUUGAUUUUAUUUCAUACUAUUGUAUGACAAUUUUUGUGCAUAUAUGAUUAUUUUGUUGGCUAAUGUAUUUCUUUCAGUUAUGUGUGUGUGUGUGUGUGUGUGUGAUUUAUGAAAUAGCAUUGUAAAAAGUAAAAAAUUGUAAAUCGUACAUUACUUGAAAAUGAAAAUUGUUUAAAAUGAGAAUGCAAAAAACCAUAAAUCAAAUUAAAACAUCAGCAAAUCGUGAAUGCGUUGAAGGACAAAAUCUCUACCGAACCCAACCCAGCCUAUCAUUAUGUCGUACAGAUACAUGUUCCUUCCCUUAUAGUAAAGUUAGGAACAAGUGAAUUGGGCAAUUAUCUGGUAGAAGUUUGGUCGAUUUUAAUGUUUUCUUGGUAGGAAGUUAUCCAAUGGAAAAUGGUCUAGUAGAAAUUUGUCUAUUCUAAUAUUUCGGCGGUAAGAAUUAAUAAAAUAUGAAACUUUCUAGUGCGAUUAUGACGACGUACCUCCAAGCCUCAGAUAGAGAAGCAUCUGCACCUUCCUCUGAUACAAGGAGUCCAGGAAUAGAUUUCAUAGCCUAGCGGGCCACAUCCGGCCAACUCCCGGCCCUUCCAAGUUUGUAGGUCAUGCAGUGCACCCAAGACACAAAGUUAUCAUAUUUUGAUAAGAUCACUCUAUAACAAAAGGUCUUCUGCAACCAAGUUUCUUACUCAAGCCCAAUUCACUGUAUAUCUUAAUAGCAUCAGCAUGAAAUAUGACGCGUUUGGAAAAAGAGAUCGAUAGAUAUUUUAUUCAGGAACAAUCGCUAAAUACGCAUAGGUUCAACAUGUAUAGAUAUAUAAAUACUGACAAUCGUUAAGUAGAUUGUAUUCUUUAGGGUCCAAUAUUUUCAUAUCAGAAUAAGGUAACUUUCAAAAUUGUGAUAUUUAGUAGAAAAAGUCGAUGCAUAAGAAAACAGAAUAUUCACAAACGACACAAGUAUUUUAGAAGAAAGUGGUCUGUGUAACACACACACACACGUCUUACCUCUGAUGCUUGUGGGCCCGAAUGGAUGUUAGCCUUGAUGUAGAAGAGGUGUGCUGAAGUAGAUACUAUAGCCCGGAUGUGAAUGAACUGCGUUAGGGAAGAUGCGGCUGUUUAUGGAUGUAUGAGGUGAAAGGGCCUUUACAAGUAACUUCUCGGGCGUCUCGUAAUUUGAGGUCGGUAUGGCCACAAAGUCUGAAAGAAACGAUAAUCAUUACUUGAUUUUUGUAAUUACUGUUAAGUCUUAUUUUUGUCAUUAGCGUUAGUCAAUAAUUGUGUAUGACGUCAUUUUCACUUAUCGAAAAAUAGAAAGCGGAUAAAUAGAUUUAAAAAUGAGAAAAUAAAAAAAAGUAUAUACCUGCAGUAUAUGUAUCACACUAACUAGGGAUAAUCGUCGAUUGAGCUUGAAAACGCAGCUGACCUUUUUAAGGAAUUGGCGUAAGCUUUUGUUUUUAUUGCUAUAACUUACCUGUAAUGAAAAUUAAUGGGUAUAUGAUAAUAUUUGCUGUGUACAAUGCAAGACGUUUUAUCAACUUAAGAUAGCCAAAUUAUAACUAAAGUAGGUUAGGCCAGGUUAGGUUGGAUUAUAUUAGGUUAUGUAAGGUUUUGUAUGAAGCUAUUUAUUUAUGUGUAUUCUGAUGAUGAUCAAAAUCAUUUGUGGCCAACCAGAAGUUUCCAAGAGAAAUGCAUAAAAGUUAUCGCUAAUCGGUAAUUAUCCCUAUUUUGUGAAAGACACAUGACUCGUACAGUAAAGGUUUAAGGUCUUGGCUAACUAUAGCUGUUGUCUUAAUCACGGACAACGGUACAAUAUUGAACUAGAUCAGAGCAAAGUCUGAACCAAAACAUUCAUGAUUUAAAAUUAUUCAUAUAGCUGACUGACGCAGCUAAACAACAGGCUCUAAUUGUCCGCAAUUUCAGGUAGAUGGGCUAGUAAUAAUACGUCACUGUUGGGCUAUGGCAAGUUAGUUACACUGUCAAGACAUACAAUAAUCACUACUAUGAAGUAUUUAGUAAAAGUAUAAGAAACAAUUUGUUUUAAUAAUAUAUAUUAUAAUGUGUUAGCAGUAUGAGUCACAUCAAUACGUCAGCUACAAUAAUUCUGCAUUAACGGCCGGAAGUUAUGAGUGAAAUAUUUAUACCAAUAUAAUGUACUAUGAUUUUGUAAAUAUUUUUUUCACAACAUUUGUCUCUAACUGCGGUUUGUUCUAGAUAUUUAAUUUAGUCCAUAUUUUCAAAGGAUUGAAUGAUAAAUAUUCCUUGUAACAGAAGAUGCGAGUAUGUAGUACAGUACCAAACUAGCAUCAACAUUACACUUUAGGGGAUGAGACUGAGUUAGGAUUUGUGUUCACUGCCUUAAUAUUGUCUAAUGCUAAGUGAACAUUACCAAUUAGGGUUGUCUCCGUGUAAAAUUGAUACUACCUUUGGAAGGUAUUUUUGUACUUUCGCAGUUCUGCACAUCAUUAUAUUUUCAGAUACUAGAAAUAUUUAUCUUUCGACAUUUUGAUAAUCUCGACUCUGAAUAGCUGAAACUUGACAUCUUAAUAUCGUUUUCUAGAUUUCUAACAGACAUUAUAGAUUUAUGUACAUAUAUAAAUAUAUAUACAUAUAUUUUCGUAAUGACUAAGAUAUCUCAUAUUGUGUGAUACUUACCUAACUAUAGUAUGUUGAUAGGCUAUGUAAGUUUAUAGAAACACACUAUACUGUAUAACUACGCAAACUGAUGGUAGAGUACUGUACUAUUAUAUAAGGGUACCAUAGGCUAUUAUGUAGUAAAGUAAAAAUGUAAACCAUCGAGUGAAGGUAUUGUACCAUAGACUGUGAUCAGUGUGGGUACCAUCCAUCAUACAUAAAAUACUACAAGUUACAUGGGAUGUGGUACAGUAUCGUGUGAAAGCAAUGUGAAGGUACCAUCAUUAUUUGGUUGUGACGGUGUACAUGGUAAAACAAUGGUACAGCAUGCUUAUGUCAAACUACUGUAAAACUGUUCAUGACAUAGUACACUUUAAGGGUGUAUUAUCAAUAUGUGAUACGUGCCAUGUUACCCCGCUUUCCCUGUGGUGUUGGCUUACGACACGUUAAAAUUCAGCACGAAAGAAUAUAUUACCCCAAAAGUAGAUGAAUUUGGGGAAGAUUAGGCCAGCUGUGUGGUAAGGCUAUCACGAGUGUGUAUGACGAGUGUGGGGAGAUGCUUGUGAGCCCGUCCAUACUCUAGACGUGUAAAACAUCUGUUGACGAUGUCGUUACGGAAGUUUCUGCUCUGCCUUUCUGAGCCAUUUUAUCUUUGGACGUUUUAAUGUAAUUUUCUUUUUGCUUAGCACGUUUUAGUCUAUGGCGCUAUUACCCGAGGAUAGUUAAGGCUAGGACGUUCUACCCUAGGCAAGUGUAACUUAGCACGCUCUACUCUAACAUUUUAGCUUAACAAGUUUUAUAUUAGAGCACAGGAGACACAUUUCGGCCAAUAACACUUCAGUCUAAAACGUCUUGGCGUAAACUUUAAGCUAUAAAGUGUAAAGCUGACACGACCGUGACACGUAGAGAGGCGGGAUGACAAUACACUUAAGCCAAACGUAAACUAAUAUAACAGAACCUAUCCCACCCUCUCGACCCGUCCUUCUGUUUAGUGGAGUUUUCUACAACUCGCACACUGAGUUAUGCCCUGCCAGUUGACCACACUAGAGCUUGGUAAGAAGGACUGGCUUAAAUUCAAACGAGGCUUCAGUCACUAUCCACGAAAAAAAAAUUAGAAAAUUUAUUGAUUCUUCUAGAUGUUAACACCAAAAAGUUACAGGAAUGGAUUGAAGGGUCAGUUUAGGAAUUCAAAGUUGGCACUGCUUGGUGGCCUUAGGGUUUCAAAGCGAGUUGUAUGACUGUUGAAAUAGGGUCCUGUUGAUACUCUAUAAACAUCCCCUUAAUAAGCUCCAAAAAAUAUCGUGCCUACUACACUGAACUCCUGAAAUGAUCCGUCAAUGUAAAAUAAGAUAACUAUGAGGGUGGUGUUAUCACCGUACAGAGCUCAACACCAUAACACAUGAAGCUGCUGAUCUCCAAAUGUCAACCGCAUACCCUAGCAAUAAGUUUAUUGGAAAGCUAUUAUGAAAUUUUAAUAGGCUUAAGUACCUUUUCACUCGUUUCUUGUACUGUCUUAGGUUUGUACUCCGGGCUCUUCAUAAGUACACUGUAUCUUACUGUAAUGUUAGUCAGGUCCUAGGCUUGGUCUAGCUGUAAAAUAUUAUAAUUAAAUUAAAUUGUACUUGUUUACAAUGUAAUGAACAUAAUAUCAACCUGGAUGUGUAUGUUUACAUUGCAAUAACCUACAACGCUU
Long non-coding RNA from Homarus americanus (American lobster), 7719 nucleotides. RefSeq lists it as uncharacterized. The transcript is spliced from 4 exons. The record is from RefSeq and is a predicted model, not a curated record. NCBI's taxonomy places the organism in Eukaryota, Metazoa, Arthropoda, Malacostraca, Decapoda, Nephropidae.